UACGUAGGGUGCAAGCGUUGUCCGGAAUUAUUGGGCGUAAAGAGUUCGUAGGCGGUUUGUCGCGUCCGUUGUGAAAGCUCAGGGCUCAACCCUGAAAUGGCAUUGAAUACUGCUGUGCUGGAGGUUUGGAGGGGGGACUGGAAUUCUUGGUGUAGCAGUGAAAUGCGUAGAUAUCAAGAGGAACACCAGUGGCGAAGGCGAGUCCCUGGACAACACCUGACACUGAGGCACGAAAGCUAGGGGAGCAAACAGG
This 253-nucleotide ribosomal RNA is filed under the name uncultured bacterium. Its description in RNAcentral is "partial 16S ribosomal RNA". It matches the Rfam family "Bacterial small subunit ribosomal RNA", at positions 524 to 776 of the family's 1533-position model. The record is from RNAcentral.